GACGAACGCUGGCGGCGUGCCUAAUACAUGCAAGUAGAACGCUGAAGAGAGGAGCUUGCUCUUCUUGGAUGAGUUGCGAACGGGUGAGUAACGCGUAGGUAACCUGCCUUGUAGCGGGGGAUAACUAUUGGAAACGAUAGCUAAUACCGCAUAACAAUGGAUGACCCAUGUCAUUUAUUUGAAAGGGGCAAAUGCUCCACUACAAGAUGGACCUGCGUUGUAUUAGCUAGUAGGUGAGGUAACGGCUCACCUAGGCGACGAUACAUAGCCGACCUGAGAGGGUGAUCGGCCACACUGGGACUGAGACACGGCCCAGACUCCUACGGGAGGCAGCAGUAGGGAAUCUUCGGCAAUGGGGGCAACCCUGACCGAGCAACGCCGCGUGAGUGAAGAAGGUUUUCGGAUCGUAAAGCUCUGUUGUAAGUCAAGAACGAGUGUGAGAGUGGAAAGUUCACACUGUGACGGUAGCUUACCAGAAAGGGACGGCUAACUACGUGCCAGCAGCCGCGGUAAUACGUAGGUCCCGAGCGUUGUCCGGAUUUAUUGGGCGUAAAGCGAGCGCAGGCGGUUUGAUAAGUCUGAAGUUAAAGGCUGUGGCUCAACCAUAGUUCGCUUUGGAAACUGUCAAACUUGAGUGCAGAAGGGGAGAGUGGAAUUCCAUGUGUAGCGGUGAAAUGCGUAGAUAUAUGGAGGAACACCGGUGGCGAAGGCGGCUCUCUGGUCUGUAACUGACGCUGAGGCUCGAAAGCGUGGGGAGCGAACAGGAUUAGAUACCCUGGUAGUCCACGCCGUAAACGAUGAGUGCUAGGUGUUGGAUCCUUUCCGGGAUUCAGUGCCGCAGCUAACGCAUUAAGCACUCCGCCUGGGGAGUACGACCGCAAGGUUGAAACUCAAAGGAAUUGACGGGGGCCCGCACAAGCGGUGGAGCAUGUGGUUUAAUUCGAAGCAACGCGAAGAACCUUACCAGGUCUUGACAUCCCGAUGCUAUUUCUAGAGAUAGAAAGUUACUUCGGUACAUCGGUGACAGGUGGUGCAUGGUUGUCGUCAGCUCGUGUCGUGAGAUGUUGGGUUAAGUCCCGCAACGAGCGCAACCCCUAUUGUUAGUUGCCAUCAUUCAGUUGGGCACUCUAGCGAGACUGCCGGUAAUAAACCGGAGGAAGGUGGGGAUGACGUCAAACCAUCAUGCCCCUUAUGACCUGGGCUACACACGUGCUACAAUGGUUGGUACAACGAGUUGCGAGUCGGUGACGGCAAGCUAAUCUCUUAAAGCCAAUCUCAGUUCGGAUUGUAGGCUGCAACUCGCCUACAUGAAGUCGGAAUCGCUAGUAAUCGCGGAUCAGCACGCCGCGGUGAAUACGUUCCCGGGCCU
This 1369-nucleotide ribosomal RNA is filed under the name uncultured bacterium. Its description in RNAcentral is "bacterial SSU rRNA". It matches the Rfam family "Bacterial small subunit ribosomal RNA", at positions 28 to 1381 of the family's 1533-position model. The record is from RNAcentral.